GCGAGCCAUGAGAACGCCAGUUCGAUCAUCGUCUUGCCGUGGGCGUUGGCGAAGUCCUGAAGCUUCGCGACAAUGUUGAAGUUCUUGUCCGUCAUGUAGCGCUCGCCGAGUGACGCCACCUUGCCGAACCGGGAGUCGGCGGAUGGCUUCUCGCCGCGCUUGUAUUUUCCGGUCAGCAGGCUGCUGGCCAGUGGGAAGAAAGGCAGCAGGCCGAGAUUGUAGGACUGC
Molecule: unclassified non-coding RNA, 228 nt
Filed under: Hevea brasiliensis (rubber tree)
Lineage: Eukaryota; Viridiplantae; Streptophyta; Magnoliopsida; Malpighiales; Euphorbiaceae
Source: RNAcentral